This 486-nucleotide ribosomal RNA is filed under the name uncultured bacterium. RNAcentral describes it as "partial 16S ribosomal RNA". It matches the Rfam family "Bacterial small subunit ribosomal RNA", at positions 29 to 501 of the family's 1533-position model. The record is from RNAcentral.
AGUGAACGCUGGCGGUAGGCCUAACACAUGCAAGUCGAACGGCAGCACAGUAAGAGCUUGCUCUUACGGGUGGCGAGUGGCGGACGGGUGAGGAAUACAUCGGAAUCUACUUUUUCGUGGGGGAUAACGUAGGGAAACUUACGCUAAUACCGCAUACGACCUACGGGUGAAAGCAGGGGAUCUUCGGACCUUGCGCGAUUGAAUGAGCCGAUGUCGGAUUAGCUAGUUGGCGGGGUAAAGGCCCACCAAGGCGACGAUCCGUAGCUGGUCUGAGAGGAUGAUCAGCCACACUGGAACUGAGACACGGUCCGGACUCCUACGGGAGGCAGCAGUGGGGAAUAUUGGACAAUGGGCGCAAGCCUGAUCCAGCCAUACCGCGUGGGUGAAGAAGGCCUUCGGGUUGUAAAGCCCUUUUGUUGGGAAAGAAAAGCAGCAGGUGAAUACCCCGCUGUUCUGACGGUACCCAAAGAAUAAGCACCGGCUAAC